GGUGGUGCAUGGUUGUCGUCAGCUCGUGUCGUGAGAUGUGGGUUAAGUCCCGUAACGAGCGCAACCCUUGUCUUCAGUUGCCAGCACGUAAAGGUGGGAACUCUGAAGAUACUGCCCCGGUUAACGGGGAGGAAGUGGGGAUGACGUCAAGUCCUCAUGGCCCUUAUGCCCAGGGCUACACACGUGCUACAAUGGCAUAUACAAAGGGUCGCGAUACCGCGAGGUGGAGCCAAUCCCAUAAAGUAUGCCACAGUUCGGAUUGGAGUCUGCAACUCGACUCCAUGAAGUUGGAAUCGCUAGUAAUCGCAGAUCAGCAUGCUGCGGUGAAUACGUUCCCGGGCCUU
Molecule: ribosomal RNA, 344 nt
Filed under: uncultured Desulfobotulus sp.
Lineage: Bacteria; Pseudomonadati; Thermodesulfobacteriota; Desulfobacteria; Desulfobacterales; Desulfobacteraceae
Description: bacterial SSU rRNA
Rfam family: Bacterial small subunit ribosomal RNA
Source: RNAcentral